Solanum lycopersicum (tomato) is the source of this 3347-nucleotide non-coding RNA. The record is from RefSeq and is a predicted model, not a curated record. Lineage: Eukaryota; Viridiplantae; Streptophyta; Magnoliopsida; Solanales; Solanaceae.
GGUCAAGGACUAGAAGCCAAGACCAAUAAUGUACGAAAAGAAGAAGAAGAAGAUAAAUCGAACGGGAAGAAAGACAAGCAAGCAAUCAAGAAAAACAAAGAAGAAGACGAGGAAGAAAAAAAAUAUGACGAGUGGUGGAGGAAAAUAUUUUAUUUUCCCUUUAGGUACAACUUGCUAGUGGCUUUCCCCAAUUUAAAUUCCCACCAAAAUUGGUUAAGAUAGGUUUAAGUCAAUUUACCUUAUACCCUUCAUUUAAUUCAAUGGACCAAACUGUCAACUUAUAAACUUGGGGGAAACUUCACAAUCCUUGAUAAUUAAUCACAUAAUUGUCACCUACACCCAAUACAUAAGACUUAUGUGCCCGCUUAUUUAUUUUGAAACCUUAUUGUCAGUUUCUUUCCAAACACUCGAAGAACACGGUGAGUCCCCUAAAUCGAGUGGAGCUUUUCUCUCCAUCAAACUUUAUCUCUGAAUCAAAGAACAACAUGCUGAAUCAUUGAAGAACUGCUUGCUGAAUCAGGAAAACAUUUCGUCCAUUUGAAGAACACGAUUUUCUCUUCAUACUAAGUCUGAAGGGCACGAUUUCCAUCAAACAUUCUCAAAGGUUUCACGAUUUCAUAUUGAAAAGUGAAGAUCACAAUUUCACAAUUUCUUGUUGAAGAGAUGAAGGUUAUGCCUCAGAUGAACGUGCCUCACUAGAAUGCUUCACUUGAGAAGAUGAUGUCUUAAAGCUUCAUCAGAUUUUGUUUGAAUAAGGUUUUUAAAUAGAGGAAUCGAGUCAGAAGCAUCUCGAGCGUAUACAUAGAGAUUAUUACUAGUUGUUAAUGGACGAACUAUGCAUAGAAAGUAUUGCUGGAAGUUUUGAAUGUGUGCUUUUCAGAAAGAUGAGGAUAAAAGUAAUAAGGAUGGUACUCUAGGAAUAGGAGAGAACAACAUGAAUGCGGUUAUAAGGAAUACGUGUAUGGUUCAUGGCUGUAUGUUGAAUGCAAUGGCACUUACGGGGUUCUAUUAUAUGCAUAUAUUGUCAAAUUUGAAGCAGAAGCUGUAAAAGGCUUGCAGUUUUGCCAACAAAUGGAUUGUUAGUCUUUGGUUUAGAUCAUGUGCAUGACAUCAUUUUACAUCUCUUUCGAUGUGAAUAUAUAUAGAGAUCUCAACGAGCUUGCUCUCCUAAUUGGUGUGCCUGUUCAUGGAUCUUGGCUUCUUGAAUUUGUGCCUUCAGAAAACAAGGGAAUGUGGAAGAUUAUCUGGAUCUUACAUUACGAUGAACUACACUUUGCUCCUUGGGUUUUAUAUUACAAUGAACUUAAGUGGACUUUUUUUAUUAUAGCUGUUGUACGUGGUUAAGUGGAGCAGAAGUACAAGUGGUCAUACGGGUUGUUGCACAAUCCAAAACCUAAUCGAAACUUCUCUACUGUCGAAGUCAAAGUUAUUGUUAAAUGCAGGUGAUAUAUAAGAAUUUAAAGGAUUAUACAAUGAGCCAGCUAAAUCAAAACCCUAGUAUUCUUUGCACUAACCAUUUUAUAUAUUUCUUUCUUGAAUUUAUGUGUAAAAGAACCAUCGAUCCUUUUAGAUACACUAAAAAACAUACCUUGUUUAUUCUGAUUCUUAUUCAUUUAUUUACCACAGAAAACUCUGUCACAGUUGUACAAAGGAAUCUGGACAUGAAUUAUCAAGACGAUGAACAUAUAAGAACAAAUUGGCUUGCAUUGCUGAAGAAAAUAACAGACUUGCCUAAGGGAUAACUUUAAUAACAGCAAAGGCGAGGAGAGCAACUUUUUAGCUCAUCAACCAAUUUUUCUUGAUCUGGUCUCCGUCCUUCUUAGCUUAUAAAAACUAAUCCUUUCAGCUAAUGAAGUUCCAUGUAAGAUAAUUUUGUGAAUUUCAUAACUUAUAAACACUACAAGUUGGAGUAAUGAAAAAUUAUUCUAAUUUUGGAUAUGUUUGUAAUAUAAAUUUACUGUUUAAUUCAUUUAAAUCAUUAUGUCCAACAACAUACAGGUCACAGGAUCAAAAAAAAGGCAAAGGAAGAAAAAAGGGAAAACAUGUUUGGUCAUGUCUAGGGUAUCCAAUGCUCUUGAUUUCUAUGGUUUUUCUUCUUCUAAGAUUAUCUUUCACGUUUAAUUUAGAGAGAAGAAACAUAUUUGAACUAAAUGCUUGUAGCAAAUUGUUGAUUCUUGUGACUCAUUAGUGUAAAAAAUUUCUUUCUCCAUAUUCGAAGUUGUGGUUUUCAUUUGUGGUAAUGUGCAGUGCGUGUACAUGACACUUACAAGAAGAAGUUGUCUAAUCUAUAAAGGUUAAUCUGUUUAGGCAUGUAUGUAUAUACUACCGUGAAAAUAUUUACAACAUAUGAAUGCAUGCAAAAUUUACCUUUAUGAUGUAUUUACCGUUUUAGUAGUUUGUCUAUUACUUAAUAUAUACAGUCAUUUUAAAGAAAAAAACUCUUUUAUAAGUCUAGUUGCAAAUCUUUCAGAGUGCAAAUGGGGCAACAUGAGAUGAGUUCUUGUUACAAAUUGAUGUACCUCUUAUGUUCAUGUAGGUAAAAGCACUUUGUUGUAGUUGGAUUCGUAUCACAUGGACAAAAAUGUUGCUCUUAUGGAGGCUUAUUUGUUAGACGGGCAUUAUGUUUAAUUAAUACGUACAAGAAUGGACACACAUUAGCUAAAUCAUAAUUGCUUACAGAUGGGCUAUAUGCAUACUUUUAUUUGUAGGGCUGAGAUAUACAUUUGAAUCGACAUAUAUGCAUAUUAAUGCAUUUCAUGAUGAUUUCAUUUAAUUAUUUUUGUUCACUUACACAUUUAUUUCACUAACUUAUAAAUUUAUUUUGAAUGUGUAGGAAAAUGCCGGUAAUUGACUUUGAAUUGUCGCCAGAAGUAAACUAGAUGUAUUGUAGUGAACGAUGAGAAGCUUUUCUGCUAUCAUCAUAUGUGUUUGAAUGCAUUUGAUUUUUUUUGAAUUUAUUGAUACUAGUGAUCUUUAAGCAAUCACUUUCUAAGUAUUGGUUGUGCAACACAUGUUUCUCAAAGUUUAUUUGAAAUAUAUAAUUUUGAUUCAAUUCUUAGUUAAUUUUGUGCUUUAGGGACUUGUAUAUUUAAUUUUUUGAUUAUAUAUUGCAUAUAUGCGAUUCAAAAGAGUCAAUGUAGGACGUCCAAUGUUAUAGUUACGCUUUAUAAGUGUUGUUCUAGAUAAGAUAUUAAGUUACACUUUGUAAGUGUUGCUCUAGAUGAGAUAUAACGUCAUACUUUAUAAGUGUUUCUCCAGAUGACAUAUAAAGGCAACACUUUUGAAGUUGUUUAUUUUCCUUUUAAUGUGGAUUAGGGAACCAAUGAUUAAUUAUUUUGUCAAUAAUU